CCCUACGGGGUGCAGAUGGCAGCAGAGAUUCGCAUGAGCAGCGGCAAAGGGAGCGGCGAGGACACCCGGGCCUCGUUUAUGAGAGGGGUGGCCGAGGCCAUAGAUAACGCCGCCGGAGGGGGAGCAGACGUGAUCCUCGCUGGCCCGGGAUUUGCCAAGGACGACCUGAAGAAGGUGAUAGACUCCUCUUACCCCGACCUGGCGGGGAGGAUCGCCAUGGACGAUGCCUCCUCAAUUGGCAGAUCGGGCUUCCAGGAGGUGCUCCGCCGGGGAGCGGUGAAAAGCGUGCUUGAGUCCAGCCGCAUAGCCAGGGAGGCAAAGCUGAUCGAGGAGCUAUUCAGGGAGAUCGCUACGGGCGGCAAAGCGGCCUACGGCAUCGCCGAGGUGCAGAAGGCGAUGAAUUACGGAGCCAUAGAGAGC
RNAcentral lists this ribosomal RNA (420 nucleotides) under uncultured prokaryote. RNAcentral's name for it is "partial 16S ribosomal RNA". The record is from RNAcentral.